Molecule: ribosomal RNA, 521 nt
Filed under: uncultured bacterium
Lineage: Bacteria
Description: bacterial SSU rRNA
Rfam family: Bacterial small subunit ribosomal RNA
Source: RNAcentral
AGAGUUGAUCAUGGCUCAGGAUGAACGCUAGCUACAGGCUUAACACAUGCAAGUCGAGGGGCAGCAUGAACUUAGCUUGCUAAGUUUGAUGGCGACCGGCGCACGGGUGAGUAACACGUAUCCAACCUACCGUUUACUACGGAUAGCCUUCUGAAAAGGAGAUUAAUACCGUAUGGUAUUCUAAAGUUUCAUGACAUUAGAAUUAAAGGUUUACCGGUAAUCGAUGGGGAUGCGUUCCAUUAGAUAGUAGGCGGGGUAACGGCCCACCUAGUCAGCGAUGGAUAGGGGUUCGUGAGAGGAAGGUCCCCCACAUUGGAACUGAGACACGGUCCAAACUCCUACGGGAGGCAGCAGUGAGGAAUAUUGGUCAAUGGGCGAGAGCCUGAACCAGCCAAGUAGCCGUGAAGGAUGACUGCCCUAUGGGUUGUAAACUUCUUUUAUAAAGGAAUAAAGUGGUCCACGUGUGGAUUUUUGUAUGUACUUUAUGAAUAAGGAUCGGCUAACUCCGUGCCAGCAGCUGC